GGGCCCGCACAAGCAGUGGAGUAUGUGGUUUAAUUCGAAGCAACGCGAAGAACCUUACCAGGUCUUGACAUCCAACGAAUCCUGUGGAGACACGGGAGUGCCCUUCGGGGAACGUUGAGACAGGUGGUGCAUGGUUGUCGUCAGCUCGUGUCGUGAGAUGUUGGGUUAAGUCCCGCAACGAGCGCAACCCUUGUCAAUAGUUGCUACGCAAGAGCACUCUAUUGAGACCGCCGUUGACAAAACGGAGGAAGGUGGGGAUGACGUCAAAUCAUCAUGCCCCUUAUGACCUGGGCUACACACGUACUACAAUGGCCAAGAACAACGGGAAGCCAAACCGCGAGGUUGAGCGAAUCCCGAAAAAUGGUCUCAGUUCAGAUUACAGGCUGCAACCCGCCUGUAUGAAGAUGGAAUUGCUAGUAAUCGCGGAUCAGCAUGCCGCGGUGAAUACGUUCCCGGGCCUU
RNAcentral lists this ribosomal RNA (461 nucleotides) under uncultured bacterium. Its description in RNAcentral is "bacterial SSU rRNA". It matches the Rfam family "Bacterial small subunit ribosomal RNA", at positions 917 to 1382 of the family's 1533-position model. The record is from RNAcentral.